RNAcentral lists this ribosomal RNA (563 nucleotides) under Bacillus vallismortis DV1-F-3. Its description in RNAcentral is "bacterial LSU rRNA". It matches the Rfam family "Bacterial large subunit ribosomal RNA", at positions 2362 to 2925 of the family's 2925-position model. Lineage: Bacteria; Bacillati; Bacillota; Bacilli; Caryophanales; Bacillaceae. The record is from RNAcentral.
AGGGAGCUGACUGCGAGACCUACAAGUCGAGCAGGGACGAAAGUCGGGCUUAGUGAUCCGGUGGUUCCGCAUGGAAGGGCCAUCGCUCAACGGAUAAAAGCUACCCCGGGGAUAACAGGCUUAUCUCCCCCAAGAGUCCACAUCGACGGGGAGGUUUGGCACCUCGAUGUCGGCUCAUCGCAUCCUGGGGCUGUAGUCGGUCCCAAGGGUUGGGCUGUUCGCCCAUUAAAGCGGUACGCGAGCUGGGUUCAGAACGUCGUGAGACAGUUCGGUCCCUAUCCGUCGCGGGCGCAGGAAAUUUGAGAGGAGCUGUCCUUAGUACGAGAGGACCGGGAUGGACGCACCGCUGGUGUACCAGUUGUUCUGCCAAGGGCAUCGCUGGGUAGCUAUGUGCGGACGGGAUAAGUGCUGAAAGCAUCUAAGCAUGAAGCCCCCCUCAAGAUGAGAUUUCCCAUUCCGCAAGGAAGUAAGAUCCCUGAAAGAUGAUCAGGUUGAUAGGUCUGAGGUGGAAGUGUGGCGACACAUGGAGCUGACAGAUACUAAUCGAUCGAGGACUUAACCAC